Molecule: unclassified non-coding RNA, 616 nt
Filed under: Hevea brasiliensis (rubber tree)
Lineage: Eukaryota; Viridiplantae; Streptophyta; Magnoliopsida; Malpighiales; Euphorbiaceae
Source: RNAcentral
UAACUUUUAUGUGGAAAAUAUAUUUUGAGAAAAUGAUUUAUUUUUUGAUAUUGGUUGCAAUAUUGAUCCAUAGAAUAUAUUUUCUAGCAUUUGGAGUUCUUUGAAAACUAUUAAUUUUCUUUCAAAAUAUGUCUAUGGACAUGUAUGAACCUAUAAAACUUCUUUAUUUUUAUUUGUUUUUGACUAUGAGAAAAAGAAAAUACAUAAAACGCCAAAUUAUAGUUGUCAUAAAAAAAUUACCAUUGGUUGCCAAUGGCCAGUGAUGGCCAAGGAUCACUUUGGGUGGUUGGUAGACUAAAGGGUAUGUGUUUAUAUGAUUUCCUGGUAGUUUCUUCCUUUUUGAAAAAUCUUUUGAAAAUAAUUCAUGUUGCCUCAAAAUUAAAGUUUUCUCUUUGACCAAAAUAAAAAGAAAAUUUCUGUUGACUAAUUUUUAAGUGCCCCAAAUGUCAGGAAAAAAAAUCUGUGAAACAGUUGGAGCACUAGUCUUUAUUUUGAGAGGAGUUUAAUGAAAAAUCAAGUUUAAGCUACUUCUGAUAAAAUAGUUGUAUAAAAUCUAUGUACAUUUUUUUAUGCUAGAUUCUUUAGAACUUGGGUCACGUUGCAAGUAGUAUUCUUG